AGUGAACGCUGGCGGUGGGCCUAACACAUGCAAGUCGAACGGCAGCACAGUAAGAGCUUGCUCUUACGGGUGGCGAGUGGCGGACGGGUGAGGAAUACAUCGGAAUCUACUUUUUCGUGGGGGAUAACGUAGGGAAACUUACGCUAAUACCGCAUACGACCUACGGGUGAAAGCAGGGGAUCUUCGGACCUUGCGCGAUUGAAUGAGCCGAUGUCGGAUUAGCUAGUUGGGGGGGUAAAGGCCCACCAAGGCGACGAUCCGUAGCUGGUCUGAGAGGAUGGUCGGCCACACUGGAACGGAGACACGGUCCAGACUCCUACGGGAGGCAGCAGUGGGGAAUAUUGGACAAUGGGCGCAAGCCUGAUCCAGCCAUACCGCGUGGGUGAAGAAGGCCUUCGGGUUGUAAAGCCCUUUUGUUGGGAAAGAAAAGCAGCAGGUUAAUACCCCGCUGUUCUGACGGUACCCAAAGAAUAAGCACCGGCUAACUUCGUG
Molecule: ribosomal RNA, 492 nt
Filed under: uncultured bacterium
Lineage: Bacteria
Description: partial 16S ribosomal RNA
Rfam family: Bacterial small subunit ribosomal RNA
Source: RNAcentral